AUGAUAUUUCAUUCAGUCAUUUUGCUUUCUGCCUUGAUAUGUGUGAGUUUUGGAGAUGAAAUCACAGCAGACAGCACUGAGGAAUCUGCUGCAGUGGGUUCAACUGUAACUUUAUCCUGCAGUUAUUCCUCUGCACAAUCACUUCAAUGGUACCGUCAGUAUCCCGGAUCAGCUCCUCAAUUUCUUGUGCUUAUAAUAGAGAGUGUGAAAGACACUAAGACAUCUGAUGUAGAUCCCAGAUUCUUCACUAAGCUCAGAAAAGAAAAACAAAAUACAAAAGAAAUCAAACAUGUGGAUCUGAUCAUCUCCUCUGCUGCUGUAUCAGACUCUGCUCUGUACUACUGUGCUCUGAGGUCCACAGUGACAGGAAACACAAGAACACUGUAUAAAAACCUGACACAGAUGAAGGUGUACAACCAAUUUCUUUCCAUAAUAUAG
Molecule: non-coding RNA, 438 nt
Organism: Sinocyclocheilus anshuiensis
Lineage: Eukaryota; Metazoa; Chordata; Actinopteri; Cypriniformes; Cyprinidae
Source: the annotation of a RefSeq genome assembly